CCAGAGGUCAAAUCGGACCCCUAGUCUACACGACAGCCACAGCCACAGCAACAAUGGAUCUGGGCUUCAUCUGUGACUUACACCACAGCUUGGGGUAAUGCUGGAUCCUGAGCGAGGCCAGGGAUUGAAUCUACAACCUCACGGACACCAUGUUCUUAACCUGCUGAGCCACAACACGAACUCCUGGCACAACAUUACAGAUCAAUUAUAAUAAAAAUUUUUAAAUAAUAAAGAGCACCCAAUUUCAAAAGAAAAUGCUAUAUGCAUAAUUAGUUAGGAGUGGAGUUCCCGCCAUAUCAUAGUGGGUUAAGAGAUUGCAACAGCUCAAGUCACUGUGGAGGUGCAAGUUUGAUCCCCGCCCCAGCACCAGCACAGUGGGUUAAAGGAUCCAGUGUUGCCACAGCUGCAGUGUAGGUUGCAGGCACAGCUUGGAUUUAAUCCCUGACUUGGGUACUUUCAUAUACCUUGGGUGCAGCCUUUAAAAAAUAGUUAGGAGUGGUCUUGGAGAUAAAGACCUUAUUUAGAGUAAAUAAACCCUUUAAAGAGCCAAGUAUCUACCUUAAUACAGUAAGAAGUGAUCAAGACAGGAUUGGGGAAAGGAGUGCCUUCGGUGUAGCUAGAGAAACAUGACAUUUGGAAGAGAUUUAGCCUUCACUGUGGAGGCAUGGAUUGGUCUGACAUUUUUUUCUUAUUGUGACAGUUUUUUUGGGGGGUGGGGGGCAUGCAGGUGUGGCAUAUGGAGGUUCCCAGGCUGGGGGCUAAUCAUAACUACAGCUGCCAGCCAACACCUACACUCUACCAGCUAGCUCUGAGCUGCAUCUAUCUCUAAGCUACACCACACCUCACUGGCAAUGCCUUAUCCUUAACUCACUGAGCAGAGCCACGGAUCGAACCUGCAUCCUCAUGGAUACUAGUGGGGUUUGUUUCUGCUGAGCCACAACGGGAAAUCUUUAUUGUGGCAGUUUUGAGAAGAUUACUUUUUAGGAAUUUUUCCACUUGUUUGUCUACGAUAAAAAUAGUAUUAUGACUUCUGGAUUUGCUAAAACAGAAGAAAAAAAAAAAAAAAAGGCACAAUAUACCUAGAGAUGUUUAGAAUUCCUGAGAUAGGCUGGGCAACAUCCUUUGGCAUCUGCCACUGUAAAAAUCUGGACUAAGUGCUGCUGGCCCAUUGUCCAAAGAAGCCUCCAGGCCCUGGUGUGUGAGAAACCACAGAGGCCCUGGAGAUAGGUGUCGGUCAGAGCUCAAGACUAAAAGUAAAACUAAUUAUUCUUUACAGGGAAAAACGGGUGUCAUGGAGAACACGAUUUCUUUAACUAUUAACAGCAGUAAAUCCAAGAGCUGAUAAAAGAGUCUGGAAUAAACACGUCACGUAUUUCUUGGAGUUCCUGACUAGUAUCCAUGAGGAUGUGAAUUCGAUCCCUGGCCUUGCUCAGUGGGUUAAGGAUCCGGUGUGGCCAUGAGCUGUGGUGAAGGCUGAAGAUGCUGCUCGGAUCUGACGCUGCUGUGGCUGUGGUGCAGGCUGGCAACCGUAGCGCCAAUUGGACCCCUAGCCUGGGAACUUCCACAUGCUGCACGUGCGUGCGGCCCUAAAAAGACAAAAAACAAAAACAAAAAAACUGAAUAUGUUUCUUCACCUGUAAAAUGAGGGUUUUGAGUUAGGUGUAGUGGAAGUUCCUUCCAGAGAUCACUGCUUAUGUUUCCAAGCCUUUUUGUUUUUUGUUUUUCAAAAUAUAAUGCAAGGAAGUGUUGAGAAAAAUUGAGCUUAAAACACUGUGAAUAUGCAUGUAUUAUUUUUUAUUUCUUUUAACUCUUGUUCCAGAUAUGAGUGAUAUUUUUCAUUUUAAACCUGGGAACCUCCCUAUGCUGCAGGUGUGGCGCUAAAGAAACAAAGGACAAAAAAAAAAAAAAAAAAAAAAAGGAUAAUAAUACCUUUUUAUAAAGUUGCACAGAUCAAAUAUCACCUGUAAGUAGGUGCAAAUAUUCUGUGACUUUGCUUGGACAGUAGGGCGGGGGGAUGGGGAGGGAGGACAAGAGGAAGGGAGGAGGGAGGGGUCUGAGGGAGGGAGGAGGGAAGAGACUGACAGUUCACCCAUCUCAGCGCUUCUGUGAUUUUGAGCAGCAUGUUGAUGUUUUUCUCUCUCCCCGCUUUCCACUCUGCUUAUACCCUCACCUUGGGAAUAUAGUAAUUUUUAAAUAUAGUAUUUGUGGUGGUUGCAUGGGCUAGGCCUGUGGGCAGGAUAUCUGCAAAUCUCUGCACUUGAUGAAUGACAGCGUCCGUGAAGGGCAUCUGAGGUCGGUGUGCAGUUCGAGGCUGGGUGGACCCCAUGACUCUGAUGAUCUCCUCAUGGACCUUUGCUGGAUAAAGUGAAGAGCAGGUAGAUUCCGGGGUGGGAAAGGGUGUUGGAACAGUUUUCUUUCUUUUUUCUUUUUUUUGUCUUUUUAGGGCUGAACUUGCAGCAUAUGGAGGUUCCCAGGCUAGGGGUCAAAUUGGAGCUGCAGCUGCCAGUGUACGCCAGAGCCACAGCAAUGCGGGAUCAGAGCUGCGUCUGCGAUCUACACCACAGCUCACAGCAAAGCCGAUCCUUAACCCACUGAAUGAGGCCAGGGAUGGAACCUGUGUUCUCAUGGGUACCAGUCGGUUUUAUUACAACUGAGCCACGACGGGAACUUUCCCCAUUUUCUUUAGACGUGAAAGUGAACCCAAGUGCUAAGUUCUGACUCAUAUUCCCUGGCCCGCUCCCCCCUCCCCACUUGCUUCCACGCCCCCAGGCCUCUGGGGACCUGCGUGUAGUGAUGCCUUCAGACCAUAUGAAGAUGCUUUGCAAAAAUCUGCUUUCUUAGAUCAUGGGAAAACUAAAGGGGAGUUCUCUCGUGGCUCAGUGGGUUAAGGACCUGGUGUUGUCACUGCUGUGGGACCAGUUCGAUCCCUGGCCUGGGAACAUGCUGUAGGCAAGGCCAAAAAAAUAAAAAUAAAAAAAUUAAGCCAGGUAACUUUUACAUGCCAUGGGUACAGCCAAUAAUGAUGAUGAUGAUAAAAGUUAAAAAAAGAAAGCUAGGGAGUUCCCAUCAUGGUGCAGCAGAAACGUACACGACUAGUAUCCAUGAGGAUGCAGGUUCGAUCCCUGGUCUUGCUCAAUGGGUUAAGGAUCUGGCGUAACCGUGAACUGUGGUGUAGGUCACACACGGGCUCGGAUCUGAUGUUGCUGUGGCUGUGGUGUAUGCUGGCAGUAGCAGCUCUGAUUCAGCCCCUAGCCUGGGAACUUCCUGAUGCCAUGGGUGCAGCCCUAAAAAGCAAUAAAUUAAAAAAAUAAAAUAAAAUAAUAAAAAAAGAAGGCUGAAGGUACAUAACUAGUGGGAGAAGUGAAAGAUGACCAGGAUAGUAAGAAUUUACUAAAAACCAUAUAAUGAACUAUUUAUUGGUUCACAGUCUUUGCAUCAUAAGAUACUUGAUGCAGUGAUCUGUGCUGGGAAAAUUAUCAGAUAGCUUAACCAAGCAGACCUGUCACAUCUCUGAUACUCAGAACGUUCUAGAAAGCGUACAUUUUUGAAGUGGCAGUUGUCUAGUACAUACUUUUUCAUGGUCUCUGGAAUAAUCAGAGGAAGUAAAAGUGAAUAGAUAAGAUAGUUACUGCAAUUCUACGACUCCCAAUGAGUUUCACAUUUUCACUAGUCAAGGUUAAGAGUCUCAGGAACUGGGGGUCUUGAUGGUCAAACCGUUUUCCAAAUAACACGGACACAAUGACGUUAGCAACGGAAGCAUUCAUUACCGUUGUGACCUCAAAGGGCUUUCCUGCAAGAGAAUUCAUUAAUCGGUUCAGAAGUACAGGUGCCCCUGUUUUUCAAACGUUUCCCUUAUGCCACUUCGCUUUCACAAAAGACCCACGUUAGUACUUGUUUUCGCAAACCAAAAGAAAUCCAGAGAGGAUUUUCGCUUUUUCAAAAAAAGGCAAAGAGCAAAAAUACCGUUCAGUGUUUUGUACAGUUUUGCUUUUUUUGCAGUAAGCUCUUAUAGAGGCAGUUUGCACCUGGAUUAGUGAGGGGGGCGCCACCAAGUGUCUUCCCCAGGAACUACACUCAGCAUCUCAGCGUCAAGCCACCAUAACUUUGAACUAUCUGUGAGCAUCCGUGCUUUAAUCUCCAUUUACUCUGUGCAUCUCUUAUAGAGAUGAACCCCAAGGUAUUUGCUUCUUAAUUUUACGCUAUUUUCUUUUACGAAAGGGUUCAUAGGAGAGCUUUACUUUUGGGUAGUAGGAGACACCUGUAUUUACAUACACAAUAUUAAACCAGUUUCGGUCUGAUUGAGACAGACUGUCAAGUAACGAUUUGAUAGAGGAAAGGGGUUAUUGGGGACCAUACCUUGUAAUGAGAGGUGAGACUAGACUGGGCCUUGAAAAAGACUCAGGGUUUGGUUGAAAUGUUGCUACAAGGAAAAAUGAAAGCCUGUGUCCAAGGAAAUCUGCAUUUGAUUCAAAGAAAUUAAAUUGUGCAGGUGACAGGCUUUCAGGUGUGUGCCCAUGUGCAUAAGGAGGUAUUAGUGCAUGAUAGCUGGGAAAAUAUUUCCAUCGACCAGGCUGCAUUCAAGUUUAAAAGUGUAAAAUAGGACAUCUAGAUGGUUAAAUAAUUCUACCUUUUUCCCUCCUUUUUCUUUUUUAGGGCCACAUCGGUGGCAAACGGAAGUUCCCAGGCUAGGGGUUGAAUUGGAGCUGCAACUGCUGGCCUGCACCAUAGCCACAGCAACAGCAACAGCAAUGCGGGAUCCCAGCUGUCUGCAAGCUACACCCCAGCUCACGGCAACUCCGGAUCCUUAACGCACUGAACAAGGCCAGGGAUCAAACCUGUAUCUUCAUGGAUCCUAGCCGGGUUCAUUACCCCUGAGCCACGACUGGAACUCCUAAAUAAUUCUACUUUAAAGAACUUCAUCCAGAGCAAUUCCUUGUUUUAGCCUCUUCCGCUGCUGGGUUCUGUUUUUGUCAGUAUCACUGAAGCCUAUUCAGAUGAUUAAACUUGUAUCGGUGGGUGGGCAUUUAUUUUUAAGUGAAGAGUGUUCUUGUUGCUAAGAUUCACUCUUCACAUCAUCACCUACCUGAAAUGUGGAGCUAAAAGGGAAGGUCUUGUAGAGGAUGUGUUUUCUUCUUCAUAUACAAAUGAAAGGCUGUAUGGGACGCUGUGUACACAAAGACCUAAGAAAUGAACGUUUCUUAGGAGCUUAACGUCAGAGAAGAAAGGGUCAUUUUUUUCUUUUUUCUUUUUUGUCUUUUUGCCUUUUUCUAGGGCCGCUCCCGUGGCAUAUGGACUUCCCAGGCUAGGGGUCUAAUGGGAGCUGUAGCUGCUGGCCUACGCCAGAGCCACAGCAACUCGGUAUCCGAGCCACGUCUGUGAUCUACACACAACUCAUGGCAACGCCAGAUCCUUAACCCACUGAGCAAGGCCAGGGAUCGAACCUGCAACCUCAUGGAUCCUGGUCGGAUUCGUUAAUCACUGAGCCAUGACGGGAACUCCAAGAGUCAUUUUUCUAUAUGCAUGUUCUUCAAACUGCUAAGAGCCUCUCCUUCGAAAUGUACUGACUGGGUCUGCUAAGUUAGCACAUGGGUUCCCCCAAACUUCUGUUUCUCCCCUGCAUUCAUCUCCAGGCUGUCUGCCUUUGACCUUUUCUCUUCAGAUUCAUUUCUGCAUCAGUGAAAAUUAUAUUCAAAUGAACUCAUUUUUAGCAGGGAAUGAGCUCGAUUUAUUAAGGAAAUGAGAAAACUCUUGCCAUGAAAAUGAGCUUUUGGAUUAUACAUCCCACAAAUUGAUAAAAGUAAUGUGGAAUUAACUCAACAUUAAAGGUAUCAGAAAUGUACCUGUUAUUGAGAAAACUUUUCCAGAUUAAAGGAGGCAAAAGAGAUGUGACAGCUGAAUGCGGUGUGUGAGCCUGGAUUUAUUUAGGUCCUUAGUAGGGACAGUGGUGAAAUCUGAAUAAAUUCUGCAGCUUAGUCGAUAACUUCAUGUCAAUGUUAAUUUCCCGGUUUUUGAAAAUGGCUCUUUGGUUAUAGAAGAGAAUGUUUUUGCCUAUUUUAAGGAAACCCAUUGAAGUAUUUAAGAAUAAAGGGAUAUUGCAAAAUAUCUCAAACAGUUCAGAAAAAGAGAAAACGAAUGUGGCAUUUUGACAUUUGGGGGAAUUUUGGAGAAGGCUAGAAGGAUAUUGGGUAUUAUUUGUGUAGUGCUGGAAUUUUCCUACAAGUCUGCAUUGUGUCAAGAUAAGUUAUUAAACAGAUACCUUUUGUUGACCUCUUUCUCAUGAAAAAAAAAAAAAA
This 6293-nucleotide long non-coding RNA is filed under the name Sus scrofa (pig). RNAcentral describes it as "lncRNA (ENSSSCG00015010721.1)". The record is from RNAcentral. Lineage: Eukaryota; Metazoa; Chordata; Mammalia; Artiodactyla; Suidae.